This 280-nucleotide ribosomal RNA is filed under the name uncultured bacterium. RNAcentral describes it as "partial 16S ribosomal RNA". It matches the Rfam family "Bacterial small subunit ribosomal RNA", at positions 64 to 339 of the family's 1533-position model. The record is from RNAcentral.
AAACGACAUCGAAAGCUUGCUUUUGAUGGGCGUCGACCGGCGCACGGGUGAGUAACGCGUAUCCAACCUGCCCACCACUUGGGGAUAACCUUGCGAAAGUAAGACUAAUACCCAAUGACGUCUCUAGAAGACAUCUGAAAGAGAUUAAAGAUUUAUCGGUGAUGGAUGGGGAUGCGUCUGAUUAGCUUGUUGGCGGGGUAACGGCCCACCAAGGCGACGAUCAGUAGCCGGACUGAGAGGGUGAACGGCCACAUUGGGACUGAGACACGGUCCAAACUCC